This is a non-coding RNA of Cinara cedri, 277 nucleotides long. The record is from the annotation of a GenBank genome assembly. Lineage: Eukaryota; Metazoa; Arthropoda; Insecta; Hemiptera; Aphididae.
CGUCUGUAUUGGCAAAUUGGUCGAUUGCGUCAUGCGCGAAAAUAGAUAUUAUGGUAUACAAAAUUCGUGUACCUUGGGUUCGUGUGCGUCAUAUAUACAUAUAUAUUACGAAUACGGUUCAAAAAUAAAUCGCCUAAUACCUUUACGACCAGUGACUGCUGCUAUAUAUUAUGCAUGUCAUGGAAAAUAUAGGUAGGUAGGUAUAUCGUUUUUGUCACCGCUGAUUCGAAACAUUGUAAGUUGUCAACGAACGGCCGAAUACGAUAUUUAAUAGACG